AUAAACUCAAUGUAUACACAAACCAACCUCGUCUACAAGCAUAGCAAUACUAUAACUACCACGAUCUGCAUUGACGGGUGAUAGCUCAACAAUAUAGCAAAAUAAUAUAGUAACCCUAUACAUGCAUAUAUUCAUAGUGUGAUAUAACUACAUGCAUAGAAAACAAUAGGUAAAGGAUGAUCAACAUGUAGCUUGCCUGUAUGUUUGAUGAAGUUUGUCGCACUCACAAUUCCUGAUAAUUCUACUCGUCAUGCUCCGAGCAAUCUCUUGUUGAUGAAAGAACUCAAAUCAAUAACCAUGCCAUAUAGAAGAGCCAAAAGAACAAAAAAAAUUUGGCAAGGUUGAACAAUAACAAUACAUAUGGGCUCAAUAUUAUAAUAUGGGUUUGGAUGUGCUAUAAGGUGACAAGGGAAAGGAUCAACUCACAAGAGUUAAUACAGAAAGAGAUAUUGCUAUAAAAGCUUAUGUUUGAGAUAAUAUAGAACAAGGUCAAAAGUAUUUGGAGAACAACAUAGAAGUUGUUUGACAUAUUCAUAUGACAUACAAAUUCAUUUGAAGAAAGAGUUAAUCGAAAAGAAAUACUACAACACAAGUUAUAGCGAAUGAGAGUUUGAAUUAAAAUUAAAUUCAAACAUGUCAAAAGUAUUUGAAUAUGAAUGUACAUAGUAUGUUUAUCAAUUAUUUGAUGCAAUUGUCAAUAGCCAAAAGGAAUCAAUUGAAUAUAAUAUACCGUUUACAAGAUAUAUGGCCUUCGGAAGGUGGACUUCAAAUUCAAACAAACUCAAAUUUGAAUAGUGCAAACAUGUGAAAAUUUGGUCUUGUCAUAUUCUCCUGGUCACUAGUUUAUAGGAAAAAGAAUCACCUAAUUCGGAUAUUUAGAAUAAAAGAUAUGGCUAACUGAAGUUUUGGUUGAAAAUCUAAAAAUAACAAAAAUAACAACAGAAAGCUCCUGAUCUCAAAACCCUGUAACAGCUCUUGUAGCCUUGUCACGUGUCGGCGCCUGAUUGGAUGAAAACUCCUGCGUGCAUGUGUGCUUACCAGAAGCAGGGGAAGCGGCGGCGGGUCGGGGAUCGGUGACGGCGACUCUCCGGCGAUCCUCCGGCGAGGGUGAAGGGGCGGGCGGAUGCGGCUUUGAGCGGCGGAGGUAGCGGUGACCGAAACGACGACGGGGGUGUCCUGUGCGACGGCGAUGAAGACGUGCACGACGGCUGCCCAGGAGCUUCGGCUCGGCAGCGGCUGGUUGCUCCGGUGUGCCCCUACGCGAGAGAUAAGGUGAGGGAGAGAGAAGAGUUCAAGGAGAAGAGUACAGAGGGAAAGGGAGGCGCUAGAAACCUCGGUUGGCGACGAACUCGACGGGCUACAGAAGUUUCAGGCGGCAGACUCUGGCAAGAUCGGCGAGCAAGAAAUCGGCGCGGAUCUGGAGCGGCGAUGUUGGGAAUCAGACAAGGGAAUCGAGACGAGUCUCCCCGCGGCCACAGAUCGGAGAGGGGGUUAGGGGAAAGCGCCAAUCUCGCGUGGUCCGAUCCAAGCCGUGGUGGCGUUGACGUGUGGGAGCUGGAGACCGACUUGGGGAGG
Molecule: long non-coding RNA, 1575 nt
Filed under: Triticum aestivum (bread wheat)
Lineage: Eukaryota; Viridiplantae; Streptophyta; Magnoliopsida; Poales; Poaceae
Description: long non-coding RNA (TAES_LNC012010)
Source: RNAcentral